This 494-nucleotide ribosomal RNA is filed under the name uncultured bacterium. RNAcentral describes it as "partial 16S ribosomal RNA". It matches the Rfam family "Bacterial small subunit ribosomal RNA", at positions 28 to 507 of the family's 1533-position model. The record is from RNAcentral.
GACGAACGCUGGCGGCGUGCUUAACACAUGCAAGUCGAACGGUGAAGCGCCUUCCUUUUUGGUGGGUGUGGAUGAGUGGCGAACGGGUGAGUAACACGUGAGUAACCUGCCCCCUUCUUCUGGAUAACCGCAUGAAAGUGUGGCUAAUACGGGAUAUUCUGGGUCUGUCGCAUGAUGGGUCUGGGAAAGAUAUUGUUUCGGUGGGGGAUGGGCUCGCGGCCUAUCAGCUUGUUGGUGGGGUGAUGGCCUACCAAGGCGGUGACGGGUAGCCGGCCUGAGAGGGUGGACGGUCACACUGGGACUGAGACGCGGCCCAGACUCCUACGGGAGGCAGCAGGGGGGAAUAUUGCACAAUGGGCGCAAGCCUGAUGCAGCGACGCCGCGGGAGGGAUGGAGGCCUUCGGGUUGUGAACCUCUUUCGCCAGUGAAGCAGGCCUGCCUCGUUUGUGGGUGGGUUGACGGUAGCUGGAUAAGAAGCGCCGGCUAACUACGUG